CUCCAAGUCUCCAGUCUGGCAGUCCUGCCUCUGUCCCUGUCCUGGCCGCCAAGGCUGGGUGGUGACAAGGUCACCUCUCUUCUCCCUGGGCCUCGCUUUCUCAGAGGCCAUGGAUGUCUGACCAGGUGAGCAGGUGACCGCUUUAAACCUGCUGAUGAUACAACACAUGCACACCUCCUCCCUCAGUCCAUCAAUCAACCAGGCCUUGCCAUUGCCCACUCAGCUGGAGAUCCUCAUGUGUGGGACUGGCCCAGCUGUGACUCAGGCUCAGCUGGAUUUUACCCCAAAAGAGCCAGGCAUUGGUUUCAAGCCCUGGGAAUCAUUUGUUUCAUUCAGGGCCAGCCUGAGAGUUCCCCCAUCAGCCUUGGAUGUUUUUAGGUUAAGUUGCCCGAGUUCUGCUCCCCUAUUGCUUACUUGUUUUCCCCAUAUGGUUACAGUUCUAGAAUGUUCAACCCCUGAGUGUAUCUAUUGUUGCUUCCCCGUUGUCUGGGGUCUCUGGAUCCUGCCCCUCGUAUUGUGCACGGCUUCUCCACGUUUGCUGUUUCUCACCCUUUAUUAAAGUUCUUUGAGGCAGCUCCAUCGAACCCGCUCCUUUUCAUUUUCACUACCCUCGCCUGAAGUCAGGGAACCAGAGAGGUUUGUCACAGCCACUCUCACUGUGACACGUACAGAAAAGCAUUUAGAAAUACUUUUAGUAUAAAUAUUACAUUGUUCAGACAUUCUUUAGGAGCCAAUUUCCCUUUCCUUUUGUUUUAAAAAUAACAUGCAUGUCUCUUGCUGUGAACAUGAAGGGAACAUCAAAACAAAACAAUAUAUACAGUGAUACAAGAAACUACAGUAAUCAAGAAAAAGUCAGAUAAUUCAUGUAAUUAAUCACACAUGUGAAAUUGGAUGAUUAUCAGUGUGUUAAACACUGCACCAUCACCCAGAGGCUGCAGCAGCUGCCAAACCUCAUUUCAGUGAGGACCUGGAGAGCCAUUCCCAGGAAAGGUAUCCAAGCUCACUCUAAAAACUGAUCCAGCUGUCCUAUCAUUAGAGGGUCAAAUUGCCAAGUCCAAGAGACUUGAAUAGAGUUCUGAGGCAGAAAACAUCUGGGUUUGUUGGCAGUUUUCCAGCCAGGUAGAGCCAGGGCCUGGCCAGAGCCCAGACCCUCAUUGGGAGGGUCUCCCUCACAUACCUUAAAAACAAAUCUCUCAAUAACAGCAGCUCUGAGAUGGCCCAAACACAGCAAACUGCUGGAGUGCUCCUGUGAGAAUACCUGGGGCUGUGUCUGAUGCCCACAGAGCAGAAGCUGCCUUGCCCUCAGCAGGGCACAGCCCUGUCCCAUGAGGAUGUGUCACAAAAGGGUCAGGAAAGACCACAGGACCUCAGCUCAGAUGAGGCUUUUGACAGAGCCCAGAGAUCUCAUCCUGGAGCUCUGAAAACACAGGAAAAUCAUGAGACAGCCCUGGGUCAAGGCACAGCAACCCUGCUGGAACAAGAGAAGGGACCAAAGGCUGAGCAGGCAGUGCAGGGAACAGCUGCAGACAGCCUGGUCAGAGAGAUGCACCUGCAGCUGUGGAACAAAGCAGAGAGAUCCCAAAGGGACACGUGUCUGUAGAUAGUGACACAAAGAUCUGUCAAAGUUCAUGGAGAGCCAGUUAUCAAUAAGGUAAUGAUACCUUAUGGAUAAUGCCUGUUAUAAAACUGAGUGAAUUCACAUGAUGGAACCAAUGUAUCAGCAGGGACUGUCUCAGGAAUUGGAGACAAUAUUCUUCCAGCAUUCCUGGAUCCAUACCAGUGAAACACUGAACAGCUGACAAUGGAUAACAGCCAUAAUGCAGAACAACCCCCACUCUGCUGUGUUACCUAUGGAAGAUAAACCAGAAGAGAUGACAAUGAAUGAUCCUGUCAGGCAGUGCAGCCCUGACACCUGUGCAAUCUGUGAGAGGAUCAAGGGCCCAACAAACUGUAUCUGCUUCUAUCCAAAAGCAGGUGUUUAUCAGUGUUUCAUCACAGCUGUUUCACUUGGAUUGGUCUUGUGUAUAGAAGAAAAUAACCACAUCUUGCAAUGUAAUCAAACAUAUUUAAACAAAA
Long non-coding RNA from Haemorhous mexicanus (house finch), 2076 nucleotides. RefSeq lists it as uncharacterized. Lineage: Eukaryota; Metazoa; Chordata; Aves; Passeriformes; Fringillidae. The transcript is spliced from 2 exons. The record is from RefSeq and is a predicted model, not a curated record.